RNAcentral lists this ribosomal RNA (505 nucleotides) under uncultured bacterium. Its description in RNAcentral is "partial 16S ribosomal RNA". It matches the Rfam family "Bacterial small subunit ribosomal RNA", at positions 28 to 507 of the family's 1533-position model. The record is from RNAcentral.
GACGAACGCUGGCGGCGUGCCUAAUACAUGCAAGUAGAACGCACAGUUUAUACCGUAGCUUGCUACACCAUAAACUGUGAGUUGCGAACGGGUGAGUAACGCGUAGGUAACCUGCCUGGUAGCGGGGGAUAACUAUUGGAAACGAUAGCUAAUACCGCAUAAUAUUUAUUAUUGCAUGAUAAUUUAUGGAAAGAUGCUAUUGCAUCACUACUAGAUGGGCCGGCGUUGUAUUAGCUAGUAGGUGAGGUAACGGCUCACCUAGGCGACGAUACAUAGCCGACGUGAGCGGGUGAUAGGCGACACUGGGACUGAGACACGGCCCAGACGCCUACGGGAGGCAGCAGUAGGGAAUCUGCGGCAAUGGACGGAAGUCUGACCGAGCAACGCCGCGUGAGUGAAGAAGGUUUUCGGAUCGUAAAGCUCUGUUGUAAGAGAAGAACGGGUGUGGGAGUGGAAAGUUCACACUGUGACGGUAUCUUACCAGAAAGGGACGGCUAACUACGUG